Molecule: ribosomal RNA, 476 nt
Filed under: uncultured bacterium
Lineage: Bacteria
Description: SSU rRNA
Rfam family: Bacterial small subunit ribosomal RNA
Source: RNAcentral
AGGACGAACGCUGGCGGCGUGCUUAACACAUGCAAGUCGAACGGAAAGGCCCGCUUGCGGGUACUCGAGUGGCGAACGGGUGAGUAACACGUGGGCAACCUGCCCUCAGCUUCGGGAUAACAUUUGGAAACAGGUGCUAAUACCGGAUAAUAACCUUUCAUCGCAUGGUGUGGGGUUCAAAGUUUUUCGGCUGGGGAUGGGCCCGCGGCCUAUCAGCUUGUUGGUGGGGUAAUGGCCUACCAAGGCGACGACGGGUAGCCGGCCUGAGAGGGCGACCGGCCACACUGGGACUGAGACACGGCCCAGACUCCUACGGGAGGCAGCAGUGGGGAAUAUUGCGCAAUGGGCGGAAGCCUGACGCAGCGACGCCGCGUGAGGGAUGACGGCCUUCGGGUUGUAAACCUCUUCAGCUCUGACGAAGCGCAAGUGACGGUAGGAGCAGAAGAAGCACCGGCCAACUACGUGCCAGCAGCCGC